Molecule: ribosomal RNA, 436 nt
Filed under: uncultured Clostridium sp.
Lineage: Bacteria; Bacillati; Bacillota; Clostridia; Eubacteriales; Clostridiaceae
Description: partial 16S ribosomal RNA
Rfam family: Bacterial small subunit ribosomal RNA
Source: RNAcentral
ACGGAAGGCAGCAGUGGGGAAUAUUGGGCAAUGGGGGCAACCCUGACCCAGCAACGCCGCGUGAAGGAAGAAGGCUUUCGGGUUGUAAACUUCUUUUACCAGGGACGAAGACGUGACGGUACCUGGAGAAUAAGCCACGGCUAACUACGUGCCAGCAGCCGCGGUAAUACGUAGGUGGCAAGCGUUAUCCGGAUUUACUGGGUGUAAAGGGCGCGUAGGCGGGGAUGCAAGUCAGGUGUGAAAUCUAUGGGCUUAACCCAUAAACUGCAUUUGAAACUGUAUCUCUUGAGUGUCGGAGAGGUAGACGGAAUUCCUAGUGUAGCGGUGAAAUGCGUAGAUAUUAGGAGGAACACCAGUGGCGAAGGCGGUCUACUGGACGAUAACUGACGCUGAGGCGCGAAAGCGUGGGGAGCAAACAGGAUUAGAUACCCUGGUA